GUCCACGCCGUAAACGAUGAUGACUGGACCGGUGCGGGUCUUACCCCGUAUCGGUCGAAGCGAAAGCGUUAAGUCAUCCGCCUGGGAAGUACGGUCGCAAGACUAAAACUCAAAUGAAUUGACGGGGGCGUCACACAAGCGGUGGAGCAUGUUGCUUAAUUCGAGGCAACGCGAAGAACCUUACCUGGGUUUGACAUGUACGUAUUAACUCUAUGAAAGUAGAGCCACAGUCGCAAGACCGGAACGUGCACAGGUGCUGCAUGGCUGUCGU
Molecule: ribosomal RNA, 271 nt
Filed under: uncultured bacterium
Lineage: Bacteria
Description: partial 16S ribosomal RNA
Rfam family: Bacterial small subunit ribosomal RNA
Source: RNAcentral